RNAcentral lists this unclassified non-coding RNA (130 nucleotides) under Oryza sativa (Asian cultivated rice). RNAcentral's name for it is "precursor microRNA 167e". The stretch from base 22 to 108 matches the Rfam family "MIR167 microRNA precursor family". The record is from RNAcentral. Lineage: Eukaryota; Viridiplantae; Streptophyta; Magnoliopsida; Poales; Poaceae.
UGUUAAUUCGCUUUGUUUGUGCGCCAUAAGCAGGUGAAGCUGCCAGCAUGAUCUGAAAGCAUCUCAAACCAGCGAUCAGAUCAUCCGGCAGCUUCAUCUUCUCAUGGCAGCACACCAGCUUGAUUGAUUG